RNAcentral lists this ribosomal RNA (1052 nucleotides) under Arthrobacter ginsengisoli. RNAcentral's name for it is "bacterial SSU rRNA". It matches the Rfam family "Bacterial small subunit ribosomal RNA", at positions 262 to 1323 of the family's 1533-position model. The record is from RNAcentral. Lineage: Bacteria; Bacillati; Actinomycetota; Actinomycetes; Micrococcales; Micrococcaceae.
GGCUCACCAAGGCGACGACGGGUAGCCGGCCUGAGAGGGUGACCGGCCACACUGGGACUGAGACACGGCCCAGACUCCUACGGGAGGCAGCAGUGGGGAAUAUUGCACAAUGGCCCCCAAGCCUGAUGCAGCGACGCCGCGUGAGGGAUGACGGCCUUCGGGUUGUAAACCUCUUUCAGUAGGGAAGAAGCGAAAGUGACGGUACCUGCAGAAGAAGCGCCGGCUAACUACGUGCCAGCAGCCGCGGUAAUACGUAGGGCGCAAGCGUUAUCCGGAAUUAUUGUGCGUAAAGAGCUCGUAGGCGGUUUGUCGCGUCUGCCGUGAAAGUCCGGGGCUCAACUCCGGAUCUGCGGUGGGUACGGGCAGACUAGAGUGAUGUAGGGGAGACUGGAAUUCCUGGUGUAGCGGUGAAAUGCGCAGAUAUCAGGAGGAACACCGAUGGCGAAGGCAGGUCUCUGGGCAUUAACUGACGCUGAGGAGCGAAAGCAUGGGGAGCGAACAGGAUUAGAUACCCUGGUAGUCCAUGCCGUAAACGUUGGGCACUAGGUGUGGGGGACAUUCCACGUUUUCCGCGCCGUAGCUAACGCAUUAAGUGCCCCCGCCUGGGGAGUACGGCCGCAAGGCUAAAACUCAAAGGAAUUGACGGGGGCCCGCACAAGCGGCGGAGCAUGCGGAUUAAUUCGAUGCAACGCGAAGAACCUUACCAAGGCUUGACAUGAACCGGUAAUACCUGGAAACAGGUGCCCCGCUUGCGGUCGGUUCACAGGUGGUGCAUGGUUGUCGUCAGCUCGUGUCGUGAGAUGUUGGGUUAAGUCCCGCAACGAGCGCAACCCUCGUUCCAUGUUGCCAGCGCGUAAUGGCGGGGACUCAUGGGAGACUGCCGGGGUCAACUCGGAGGAAGGUGGGGACGACGUCAAAUCAUCAUGCCCCUUAUGUCUUGGGCUUCACGCAUGCUACAAUGGCCGGUACAAAGGGUUGCGAUACUGUGAGGUGGAGCUAAUCCCAAAAAGCCGGUCUCAGUUCGGAUUGGGGUCUGCAACUCGACCCCAUGA